Molecule: ribosomal RNA, 673 nt
Filed under: uncultured Lachnospiraceae bacterium
Lineage: Bacteria; Bacillati; Bacillota; Clostridia; Lachnospirales; Lachnospiraceae
Description: bacterial SSU rRNA
Rfam family: Bacterial small subunit ribosomal RNA
Source: RNAcentral
CUAACACAUGCAAGUCGAGCGAAGCGGUUUUAAGGAAGUUUUCGGAUGGAAUUAAAACUGACUGAGCGGCGGACGGGUGAGUAACGCGUGGGUAACCUGCCUCAUACAGGGGGAUAACAGUUAGAAAUGGCUGCUAAUACCGCAUAAGCACACAGCUUCGCAUGGAGCAGUGUGAAAAACUCUGGUGGUAUGAGAUGGACCCGCGUCUGAUUAGCUAGUUGGUAAGGUAACGGCUUACCAAGGCGACGAUCAGUAGCCGACCUGAGAGGGUGACCGGCCACAUUGGGACUGAGACACGGCCCAAACUCCUACGGGAGGCAGCAGUGGGGAAUAUUGCACAAUGGGGGAAACCCUGAUGCAGCGACGCCGCGUGAGUGAAGAAGUAUCUCGGUAUGUAAAGCUCUAUCAGCAGGGAAGAAAAUGACGGUACCUGACUAAGAAGCCCCGGCUAACUACGUGCCAGCAGCCGCGGUAAUACGUAGGGGGCAAGCGUUAUCCGGAUUUACUGGGUGUAAAGGGAGCGUAGACGGCGGAGCAAGUCUGAAGUGAAAGCCCGGGGCUCAACCCCGGGACUGCUUUGGAAACUGUUCUGCUAGAGUGCUGGAGAGGUAAGUGGAAUUCCUAGUGUAGCGGUGAAAUGCGUAGAUAUUAGGAGGAACACCAGUGGCGAAGG